AAACUCCCCGACGGUAGAUGGCGCUGAUGGCUUGCUGCACCCCCAAGUUAGCGACAGGGGAAGAGAAACCCUGAAAGACAAUGAGAGAAACUACCACCUCAAGUCUAAUGAUGAAUCUGAGACUAGUCCAACGAAAAGGACUCCGUCUGGAUGAAGACUUUUUCUCAUCUGUUUGACCAAACAGCAGGCUGCCCCUAUCAACGGAUUUGGGCCUCCGCACAACCUACCAGAAUGCAGGGUACAACAUCAAAUGAAUUCCAAUUCUCUGAGAUCUGAGGCACCAACUUGUGUGGCUGCAUGCACGGCAUAAUUUUGAUCACUCCUGACAAAAUCUCACUCCAAGGUUUUUUGAAAAGUUGGCAGCCUCUCUGAGAUCCUGAAGCUCCUUCUCUUUCUCCUCGAUUCUCUGCUGGUGUUUUCUCUGGUUGUCCUCCAAAAGUCUCUGUUAAACAGAUAACUUGGCUUGUCGUGGCUUUUAUGCUCAUCAAUCGUACACAACAAACAAAUCAAUUUCUGGUCGGUACGACAGAAAACCUCGAGCAGUCUGUCAUGUUGAGAGCAGAUCAUCUCCUGAAGUCUUCCAGUGGCUUCAGUUACUUUGUGUCUCUUUCCUGAUUGAAGUUCUUCAUGUCGCUCAAAACGUCACACUCCACAUCUUCAGGUCCAGCAUAACUGGGAGCAGCUCCAUCAGUCUGAAGUUUUGUUUUCUUCAGUUUCUCCACCAUCUCAGCAAGAAUCACAUUCUUUCCUAAAGCAGGUCUUGGAGUGAAGGUCUGUCUGCACUGAGGGCAGCUAUAAACUCUCUUCUGAUCCUCCUGAUUCCAGCAACUCGCGGCCCUGGUAGGAAGGUGUGCAUAAGUAUGGCGGCGUUGCAGAGCCAGGGAUCGUUUUAUGAGCAAGCAUUUGUGACUAAAACCUGAUAAGGACUUUCAUCAGAAGCCAG
Molecule: long non-coding RNA, 943 nt
Organism: Triplophysa dalaica
Lineage: Eukaryota; Metazoa; Chordata; Actinopteri; Cypriniformes; Nemacheilidae
Exons: 7
Source: RefSeq, a predicted model, not a curated record